AGUAAAGUCAGCUAAGAAAGCUCUCGGGCCCAUACCCCGAACAUGUUGGUUAAAGUCCUUCCUUUACUA
RNAcentral lists this transfer RNA (69 nucleotides) under Gymnothorax meleagris (turkey moray). RNAcentral's name for it is "tRNA-Met". It matches the Rfam family "tRNA". Rfam says of the family: Transfer RNA (tRNA) molecules are approximately 80 nucleotides in length. The record is from RNAcentral. RNAcentral also lists the same sequence under 2 other names. Lineage: Eukaryota; Metazoa; Chordata; Actinopteri; Anguilliformes; Muraenidae.